This is a non-coding RNA of Solanum lycopersicum (tomato), 160 nucleotides long. The record is from Rfam. Lineage: Eukaryota; Viridiplantae; Streptophyta; Magnoliopsida; Solanales; Solanaceae.
AUACUUACCUGGACGGGGUUUAUGGGCGAUCAUGUAGGUCCAUGGCCUAGGUUGGUGACUUCCAUUGCACUUUGGAGGGGUGCCCGCCUAAGAUCAGCCCAAGAAGUUGAGUCUACAUCAUAAUUUGUUGCUGAGGGGCAUGCGUUCGUGCGGCCCCUGC